This 272-nucleotide unclassified non-coding RNA is filed under the name Melitaea cinxia (Glanville fritillary). RNAcentral describes it as "misc RNA ENSMCXG00005000570.1". The record is from RNAcentral. Lineage: Eukaryota; Metazoa; Arthropoda; Insecta; Lepidoptera; Nymphalidae.
AUAAGUGUGUGCGUUUAAGUUAUGUUAUCGUCGCGAGAGCUUCGUUUAGUAAACGACAAUAAAGUCAAACCCAAGCAAGGUGGUUGAAAUCUGUGAAGAGAACACUCUGCCAUCGCAAUCUCAAGAGCGGUGAAACAAACAUGGAUUACACAGCUUAAAACAUCUGCAAUAGAUGUAAAGGCCAUAGAUAGAUAGAGAUAGACAGAAUAGCAAUUGGAGACUAUCAAAAUUGUAGAGAAAACAUUAUACUUUUGUUACAAAUAUAACCUAAU